UUAUGUUAAGCAUACUAGCAAAUAGUGUAUUCCAUUGCAAUUCCUCCUAGGCUCCUGCUAAUGAAUGAUAUGGAUGUUUGAGUUAUGCUAAUUGAAUUUCAAAUGCAGUUUAUCUUGAGGUGCUUAAUGUUUGAGAAUGGAUGUUAAGCAAUAUUAUUUGUUUAGUUAUUUCAAGGAUAUCAUACUUUUUUGCAGGACUAUUGAGCACCCAACUUUUUCAGCACUUACAAGACCA
This 235-nucleotide long non-coding RNA is filed under the name Gossypium raimondii (Peruvian cotton). RNAcentral's name for it is "long non-coding RNA (GRAI_LNC006846)". Lineage: Eukaryota; Viridiplantae; Streptophyta; Magnoliopsida; Malvales; Malvaceae. The record is from RNAcentral.